This 520-nucleotide ribosomal RNA is filed under the name uncultured Glomus. RNAcentral describes it as "SSU rRNA". It matches the Rfam family "Eukaryotic small subunit ribosomal RNA", at positions 569 to 1092 of the family's 1831-position model. The record is from RNAcentral. Lineage: Eukaryota; Fungi; Glomeromycota; Glomeromycetes; Glomerales; Glomeraceae.
AGCAGCCGCGGUAAUUCCAGCUCCAAUAGCGUAUAUUAAAGUUGUUGCAGUUAAAAAGCUCGUAGUUGAAUUUCGGGGUCAGUAGGUUGGUCGUGCCACUGGUAUGUACUGGCUUCACUGAUUCCUCCUUCUUGAAGAACUGUAAUGUCAUUAAUUUGGUGUUGCAGGGAAACAGGACUGUUACUUUGAAAAAAUUAGAGUGUUUAAAGCAGGCUAACGCUUGAAUACAUUAGCAUGGAAUAAUGAAAUAGGACGUUUGACCCUAUUUUGUUGGUUUCUAGGAUCGGCGUAAUGAUUAAUAGGGAUAGUUGGGGGCAUUAGUAUUCAAUUGUCAGAGGUGAAAUUCUUGGAUUUAUUGAAGACUGACUACUGCGAAAGCAUUUGCCAAGGAUGUUUUCAUUAAUCAAGAACGAAAGUUAGGGGAUCGAAGACGAUCAGAUACCGUCGUAGUCUUAACCAUAAACUAUGCCGACUAGGGAUCGGAUGAUGUAAUUUUUAAUGACUCAUUCGGCGCCUUAAC